GUUUGUCCCACUGAGUACAGUGGAAAUCCCGUAUAACUGCGCUGUGAAGCAUCUUAGAAAAAUAUCCUGCCCAGCAAACAUGAAGAUGCAAAGUGUGGCCCUCCCAUAAGGUUGUUCUGUGUGUGACGGCAGUGUUGUAUGUGUCCGCCUUAAGACCCUGCCUGCCGUAUGUGCUUUGCCCCAUCUGAACGUGUAACUAGUAGGAGAGUGAGAGGAACAGCAUAGUGCACAAGUCCAGCAAAGGGGGGGUGUUUAAAUUUUUAAAGAUAUGCCAUUUUAGCCCUUUAAUUAUUGAAAGCUCCCAGUGAGCCAUGAAUAACUUGUGCAUAAUGCAGACCCACAGAAAUGUUUCAGCACCAUAUAUUCUGGAGAAUUUGGCUCAUGUCUGCACUCACUGUAGUACACAUUCUCUUUUUCUGAAAGGAAAAAAAAAGUCAGCUGUUGCGUCACA
Long non-coding RNA from Myripristis murdjan (pinecone soldierfish), 451 nucleotides. RefSeq lists it as uncharacterized. Lineage: Eukaryota; Metazoa; Chordata; Actinopteri; Holocentriformes; Holocentridae. The record is from RefSeq and is a predicted model, not a curated record. The transcript has 2 exons.